GGCGAGUUGGUAGAGUGGACGAUUGCUCUAGUUUAGAAAACUAGCGAGUCAGAAAUGGCUCCGUGGGUUCGAAUCCCACACUCGCCU
This 87-nucleotide transfer RNA is filed under the name Pseudomonas phage VCM. It matches the Rfam family "tRNA". Rfam says of the family: Transfer RNA (tRNA) molecules are approximately 80 nucleotides in length. Their secondary structure includes four short double-helical elements and three loops (D, anti-codon, and T loops). The record is from Rfam by way of RNAcentral. Lineage: Duplodnaviria; Heunggongvirae; Uroviricota; Caudoviricetes; Vandenendeviridae.